Hyalella azteca is the source of this 664-nucleotide long non-coding RNA. RefSeq lists it as uncharacterized. The record is from RefSeq and is a predicted model, not a curated record. The transcript is spliced from 4 exons. Lineage: Eukaryota; Metazoa; Arthropoda; Malacostraca; Amphipoda; Hyalellidae.
AUCACAAUAGACGAAGAGGCGCACAACCAGUGUGAAUGCCAGUGUCGCAUUCAGGAACAGGACUGUAACCCGGCAAUUCAAGACUACAACUCUACCAACUGUCGCUGCGUCUGCAAAAAUCAGGAUGAGCAGAGCAAGUGCAGCGAUAAAAACCAAACACAUUACUGGAGCGAAAAAGACUGCGCGUGCUACUGCUAUACCGACGAAACCUGCAGCACCGGCCAGCGAUACGAUCACAAUCUCUGCAGAUGCACGAAUGUGAACUUUGCGGCUCGAUUACGACUCUCUGAACUCCCAUCGUUCGCUACCGGUCUGGACCGCCGGCCGGCCACUCGAGUGCCCAUCACGUUCGGAGGGUGAAGUGCGACGCUCGUUAACUUCCCUGCGGAUUUGUUUUGUUCUGACCAACUUACAAAUAUAAACAAAUUAUCUUUAAUCAACAAUGCUUGUAGCUUCUAUGAGACCUGAAUUGCAACAUUAUUGUCUAUAAUUAAAUUCUGAAGUCAAACACACUCGUGACAAACGAGUACUUUCUGGGCAUCGAUAUUUUAAAAAUUUAGUACCUUAAAUAUUGCAAUGACUUUAGAGAGUAGAGUAAGCUAAAAUUUUCAUCGUUUUAUCUAUGAUUAAGGAAACUGGUCGGCCCUGAGUGUCGUCAAAGCAG